AGGGAUAUAGUAUAACGGUAGUACAAUGGUCUCCAAAACCAUUGGUGUGGGUUCGAUUCCUACUAUCCCUG
RNAcentral lists this transfer RNA (71 nucleotides) under Lactobacillus sp. S2-2. RNAcentral's name for it is "tRNA-Trp". It matches the Rfam family "tRNA". From Rfam's summary of the family: Transfer RNA (tRNA) molecules are approximately 80 nucleotides in length. Their secondary structure includes four short double-helical elements and three loops (D, anti-codon, and T loops). Further hydrogen bonds mediate the characteristic L-shaped molecular structure. tRNAs have two regions of fundamental functional importance: the anti-codon, which is responsible for specific mRNA codon recognition, and the 3' end, to which the tRNAs corresponding amino acid is attached (by aminoacyl-tRNA synthetases). tRNAs cope with the degeneracy of the genetic code in two manners: having more than one tRNA (with a specific anti-codon) for a particular amino acid; and 'wobble' base-pairing, i.e. permitting non-standard base-pairing at the 3rd anti-codon position. The record is from RNAcentral. Lineage: Bacteria; Bacillati; Bacillota; Bacilli; Lactobacillales; Lactobacillaceae.